UAACAUUCAAUUUGUUAUGGAAAAAUAUAUAAACUUUAAUUUGUGUUACAAUAAAGUGAAUCUACUAGAUUUUCCGUUAGACAAUAAACAGAAAAUCUAAUGUGGAUACUUUUAAACUAUUAUAAUUGCCACAAAAGCUUGCCUCAUUAGCUCCAGUCAACUGGAUCACAUCAAAUAACAAGAAAUCUUCAUAGUGGUCUGUGUGUACAACUCCGCUCAUCUUGCCAUGCUAAUGCUCCUUAACUGUCACCCUGAGCCAAUGACCGUAGACCGUCUUCUGCUCCCUCCCUCCAUUCAUUCUUAACCUCCCUACUUUUGAGCUCGCUGGUCAACUUCUUGAUUCUCUUAAGUAUUGUCGUAGCCUCCAAACCUUUGAUCUUUCUAACAAUGUUCUUUUCCGUUCGAUUCCACCUCAAAUUUGUACUUGGUUGCCUUAUAUUGUUACUCUAGAUCUCUCCGGUAAUAGCUUCUCCAGUUCCAUUUCGCCAGAAAUCAUUAGCUGCAAGUUCUUAAAUAAUCUCAUUCUGAAUGAUAAUGAGUUGUCCGGUUCGAUAUUGUACGGUCUCGGUGGUCUUUCUCAGUUGAAAUGAUUCUCGGUGGCAGACAACGAUCUGAUUUUAGGUUGCUGGUGUUAUUAGUGCUACUGGGUCACUAAUUUUAGGGUUUGUGAUUUGGUAGUGGGUAUAUGUUAGACCAAGUGUGAAAAAGAAAGGUUAUGGUGAAGGUAGUGGCAAGGAUGAUUCUAGUUGGGUUGAGUGUUAAAGUCACAUAAACUUAUUCAAGUCUCAUUAUUUCAAAAACUCAUUGUUAAGAUCAAAGUUGGCUGAUCUAUUACUAGCCAUUAACAAUUUUGAUUUGGAAAAUAUAGUGAUUUUGAAAUACCUCGAAUUUUUUAUUUUCAAAACUUUCAAAUUUUUUUUUAUUAAAUCAAAAGUUAGAAUUUCGACUGUAUGGGCUGCAUGUACUGUAUAAUCUUAAUUCGUGAGUUGGGCCAAGCCCAAAAUGUAGUAUCGUAACCCCUAACCGAGAAUUUUCUAAACUCUUCAAGAAUUAUUUUGGGCAUUGAAUAUUAAAUCAGUUAAAAUAAAUUAAUUGGACCUGUAAACCCGCUUGAAAUUUUUGAAACCAUAUGAAAAGUCCGUAAACCAAGCAAAUCGAGCUAAAUCGUUGAAUCAGACCAAACUGGUUCGAAUCGAACCAGAAUGGUCUAGAAAUUCCUAGGUCUUCUUUCCCUCUUCCUUUUUCUCUUCUUCUUAUUCCUUCUUUUCGGGCCGGCACCGCUCACCGCUCGCCUCCCUCCUUCUCUUUCAUGGUUACCGGUCGCCUGCGACAGGCCCGACAACUGCCCCGCUACCCUUCAUUGUCGCACCUUAGCUCCCCUCUCCCUCUGUUUUCGUUCGACUGGACGCAGCAACAGCGCCACGGCUCAGGCGCCAUCGAUCCCAGCCACCGAUCACGCUCGACGUCAUGCCUCUCUCCGUUCGCGACUCCGGUGGCUGCUACAGCACAGGCGAGAUGCAGUUCUUCUCCCUUGGAUCGACGGCGGUGAUUGCACUGGCUGUCGAGCCCGAUUCCAGCCAGUUGGCUCGCCAAUCUCAUAAACAGACACUGGAUUUGAGCUCCUUGUAACGUUUCGAGCAUUUUGGUAUAAUGUUGCUUAGUUCUGGCCAUGGUCUAUUUUCCGGCCACCGUGCACGGCGGCGGCUGUGGCGGCCCGGCGACACUCCGGCGAGGCAUCAAAGAGACAGAAUCAUUUUCUCCUCGCGUGGACCCUGAAAUCGUUACCUGAAUUUCGAUCGGUUAAUAUCAAUGUAUAUGUAGUGGGAGAAAGAAAACGAAGAAGAUGGUCUCCCUCAUUGAUAGACAAAAAAAAUAAAAGAAAGAAAAUGAUUGUUCAUGAGAGAGAAAUUAAAAAGGCUGAUUUGACAAGGCCGACAAAGCUAAGCUGGGAGCUUUUUACAUUUAAAAAUUGAUUAAAACCAUCUAUACCAUCUUUCCAUCUAUUAUCUAAUGAAAUAUCUAAAAGAUUCACUUUAUUGUAACACAAAUUAAAAUUUUAUAAAUUAUUUGAAUUGUUUGUGUUUUGACAUAACAA
Molecule: non-coding RNA, 2095 nt
Organism: Jatropha curcas
Lineage: Eukaryota; Viridiplantae; Streptophyta; Magnoliopsida; Malpighiales; Euphorbiaceae
Source: RefSeq, a predicted model, not a curated record